UGCGCGUGAUCUGAUACCAGGUCAGAGCUGAACUGUAUAAAAGGCAGCAGCUUCUAACAGCACCUCAGUCCACCCGCAUCCCGAGUGACCUACUCCAGUGCCUGAACCAGCUUUACUCAGUUCCUGCCAAGAUGUCCUGCCAGCAGAGCCAGCAGUGCCAGCCCCCUCCCAAGUGCCCUCAAAAGUGCCAGGCCCCCAAGUGCCCCCCAAAGUGUCCCCCUAAGAGCCCUCAAGUCUCUUCCUGCUGCAGCUCUGGGGGUGGCGGCUGCUGCAGCUUGGGGGGUAGCGGCUGCUGCAGUUCCGGGGGUGGGGGCUGCUGCCUGAGCCACCACCGGCCCCGCAGGUCUCUCCGUCGCCGACACCAGAGCUCUGGCUGCUGCAGCAGUGGAGGCGGCGGUGGCUGCUGUGGCAGCAGUGGAGGCGGCGGUGGCUGCUGUGGCAGCAGUGGAGGUGGCGGCGGCUGCUGUGGCAGCAGUGGGGGCAGCGGUCGCAGCAGUGGCAGCUGUAGCAGCGGUGGCAGUAGCCAGCAGUCUGGAGGUUGCUGCUAACCUGGGCCCAGAGAAGCACCGAGAAGCAGCACUCGCUGAAGAUGUGCCAAGGCUGUGGCUUCUGUCCCCGCCCCCCCCAGGGCUUCUAAUGCUCUGGGGCUCCCUUGUCUGCGCAGGCUCACCCACUGGGCUGUCUUGCCCUUCCCUGGCCUGGGUCCCCUCUCACACACCCUUCUUUGGAGGAUGAAGUGUUGAAAUUAAGCCACGAAGCUGUGUUUCUCUGCAACAAUAAAGCUCCUUAUUCCUGA
Molecule: long non-coding RNA, 796 nt
Organism: Marmota monax (woodchuck)
Lineage: Eukaryota; Metazoa; Chordata; Mammalia; Rodentia; Sciuridae
Exons: 2
Source: RefSeq, a predicted model, not a curated record